Molecule: ribosomal RNA, 497 nt
Filed under: uncultured bacterium
Lineage: Bacteria
Description: partial 16S ribosomal RNA
Rfam family: Bacterial small subunit ribosomal RNA
Source: RNAcentral
GACGAACGCUGGCGGCGUGCCUAAUACAUGCGAGUUGAGCGCUGAAGGUUGGUACUUGUACCAACUGGAUGAGCAGCGAACGGGUGAGUAACGCGUGGGGAAUCUGCCUUUGAGCGGGGGACAACAUUUGGAAACGAAUGCUAAUACCGCAUAAAAACUUUAAACACAAGUUUUAAGUUUGAAAGAUGCAAUUGCAUCACUCAAAGAUGAUCCCGCGUUGUAUUAGCUAGUUGGUGAGGUAAAGGCUCACCAAGGCGAUGAUACAUAGCCGACCUGAGAGGGUGAUCGGCCACAUUGGGACUGAGACACGGCCCAAACUCCUACGGGAGGCAGCAGUAGGGAAUCUUCGGCAAUGGACGAAAGUCUGACCGAGCAACGCCGCGGGAGUGAAGAAGGGUUUCGGAUCGUAAAACUCUGUUGGUAGAGAAGAACGUUGGUGAGAGUGGAAAGCUCAUCAAGUGACGGUAACUACCCAGAAAGGGACGGCUAACUACGUG